AACGAACGCUGGCGGCAUGCCUAACACAUGCAAGUCGAACGAGACCUUCGGGUCUAGUGGCGCACGGGUGCGUAACGCGUGGGAAUCUGCCCUUGGGUUCGGAAUAACAGUGAGAAAUUACUGCUAAUGCCGGAUGAUGUCUUCGGACCAAAGAUUUAUCGCCCAGGGAUGAGCCCGCGUAGGAUUAGCUAGUUGGUGGGGUAAUGGCCUACCAAGGCGACGAUCCUUAGCUGGUCUGAGAGGAUGAUCAGCCACACUGGGACUGAGACACGGCCCAGACUCCUACGGGAGGCAGCAGUGGGGAAUAUUGGACAAUGGGCGCAAGCCUGAUCCAGCAAUGCCGCGUGAGUGAUGAAGGCCUUAGGGUUGUAAAGCUCUUUUACCCGGGAUGAUAAUGACAGUACCGGGAGAAUAAGCUCCGGCUAACUCCGUG
RNAcentral lists this ribosomal RNA (433 nucleotides) under uncultured bacterium. Its description in RNAcentral is "partial 16S ribosomal RNA". It matches the Rfam family "Bacterial small subunit ribosomal RNA", at positions 29 to 507 of the family's 1533-position model. The record is from RNAcentral.